RNAcentral lists this ribosomal RNA (428 nucleotides) under uncultured bacterium. Its description in RNAcentral is "bacterial SSU rRNA". It matches the Rfam family "Bacterial small subunit ribosomal RNA", at positions 354 to 796 of the family's 1533-position model. The record is from RNAcentral.
GUAGGGAAUAUUGGACAAUGGGGGCAACCCUGAUCCAGCGACGCCGCGUGAGUGAUGAAGGCCUUCGGGUCGUAAAGCUCUGUUGCAGGGGAAGAACACAAUGACGGUACCCUGCUAGAAAGGAUCGGCUAACUUCGUGCCAGCAGCCGCGGUAAGACGAGGGAUCCUAGCGUUGUUCGGAAUUAUUGGUCGUAAAGCGGGUGCAGGUGGCUUGGUAAGUCAGAUGUGAAAGCCUGGGGCUUAACCCCAGAAGUGCAUUUGAUACUGCUGAGCUUGAGUGCUGGAGAGGCUAUUAGAAUUCCUGGUGUAGUGGUGAAAUACGUAGAUAUCAGGAGGAAUACCGGAGGCGAAGGCGGAUAGCUGGCCAGACACUGACACUCAGACCCGAAAGCGUGGGAAUCAAACAGGAUUAGAUACCCUAGUAGUCC